Molecule: ribosomal RNA, 406 nt
Filed under: uncultured bacterium
Lineage: Bacteria
Description: partial 16S ribosomal RNA
Rfam family: Bacterial small subunit ribosomal RNA
Source: RNAcentral
AUUGAACGCUGGCGGCAGGCCUAACACAUGCAAGUCGAACGAGUGGCGGACGGGUGAGUAAUGUCUGGGAAACUGCCCGAUGGAGGGGGAUAACUACUGGAAACGGUAGCUAAUACCGCAUACCAUCGGAUGUGCCCAGAUGUGAUUAGCUAGUAGGGGGGGUAAAGGCUCACCUAGGCGACGAUCCCUAGCUGGUCUGAGAGGAUGAUCCGCCACACUGGAACUGAGACACGGUCCAGACUCCUACGGGAGGCAGCAGUGGGGAAUAUUGCACAAUGGGCGCAAGCCGGAUGCAGCCAUGCCGCGUGUAUGAAGAAGGCCUUCGGGUUGUAAAGUACUUUCAGCAGGGAGGCGGUACUCGAAGAAGAAGCACCGGCUAACUACGUGCCAGCAGCCGCGGUAAUUC